CGCUGAAGCCGACAGCUUGCUGUUGGUGGAUGAGUGGCGAACGGGUGAGUAACACGUGAGUAACCUGCCCCUGAUUUCGGGAUAAGCCUGGGAAACUGGGUCUAAUACCGGAUAUGACCUCCUGUCGCAUGUUGGUUGGUGGAAAGUUUUUCGAUCGGGGAUGGGCUCGCGGCCUAUCAGCUUGUUGGUGGGGUAAUGGCCUACCAAGGCGACGACGGGUAGCCGGCCUGAGAGGGCGACCGGCCACACUGGGACUGAGACACGGCCCAGACUCCUACGGGAGGCAGCAGUGGGGAAUAUUGCACAAUGGGGGAAACCCUGAUGCAGCGACGCAGCGUGCGGGAUGACGGCCUUCGGGUUGUAAACCGCUUUCAGCAGGGAAGAAGCGAAAGUGACGGUACCUGCAGAAGAAGUACCGGCUAACUACGUGCCAGCAGCCGCGGUAAUACGUAGGGUACGAGCGUUGUCCGGAAUUAUUGGGCGUAAAGAGCUCGUAGGUGGUUGGUCACGUCUGCUGUGGAAACGCAACGCUUAACGUUGCGCGUGCAGUGGGUACGGGCUGACUAGAGUGCAGUAGGGGAGUCUGGAAUUCCUGGUGUAGCGGUGAAAUGCGCAGAUAUCAGGAGGAACACCGGUGGCGAAGGCGGGACUCUGGGCUGUAACUGACACUGAGGAGCGAAAGCAUGGGGAGCGAACAGGAUUAGAUACCCUGGUAGUCCAUGCCGUAAACGUUGGGCACUAGGUGUGGGGGACAUUCCACGUUCUCCGCGCCGUAGCUAACGCAUUAAGUGCCCCGCCUGGGGAGUAC
Molecule: ribosomal RNA, 808 nt
Filed under: Brevibacterium sp.
Lineage: Bacteria; Bacillati; Actinomycetota; Actinomycetes; Micrococcales; Brevibacteriaceae
Description: bacterial SSU rRNA
Rfam family: Bacterial small subunit ribosomal RNA
Source: RNAcentral